RNAcentral lists this unclassified non-coding RNA (373 nucleotides) under Hevea brasiliensis (rubber tree). The record is from RNAcentral. Lineage: Eukaryota; Viridiplantae; Streptophyta; Magnoliopsida; Malpighiales; Euphorbiaceae.
GCUUAAAAAAAAAAAACUCCUUACAAAAAUGGCAUUUUAACCUCCAUGAUUCCAUCAUCUUCAAACUACUUUUGGACAGUUUGGAGAGAAUGUAAAACAGGGGCCUAUGAGGGAGACGAUAAAUCUCUCAAUCCUUUCACUGACGACUUAGGAGUUAGGAGUUGGGACUGAUAUGUGAAUGCUCAAGUAUAAAACUUUAGCAUAACGGAUAGUUAUAUGUAAGCUUUUUAACGUAGAACUUAUACAUUGCCUUCCAAGUGUAUAAUCGCACAUUUGUACAUGGGCUGCAUCCAUCUGGUGCCAUAUAGUGAUGUUUUCCUUAUAAAAAAUAGUAAUAAAAACAAAACAAGACCCCAAAACCGGAAAAAAAAAU